This 942-nucleotide ribosomal RNA is filed under the name Triticum aestivum (bread wheat). Its description in RNAcentral is "partial small subunit ribosomal RNA". The record is from RNAcentral. Lineage: Eukaryota; Viridiplantae; Streptophyta; Magnoliopsida; Poales; Poaceae.
AUGAAGAGGCAUCCGUUGGUCGUUGUGAUGCUAUUCGUCUCUUUUCUGUUCUUUAGCUGUGGCCGGGGAAGAAGUUCAGCGAUCUCGGAAAGCGACUUCGAACUGGAGAGAGAGCUCAAGAUGCUUAACAAGCCCUAUGUCAAAUCCUUCAAGGAUAAUUAUGGGGUAAUUUUUGACUGCAUUGACAUUUACAAGCAGCCUGCAUUCGAUCAUCCUCUCCUGAAGAACCACAUACUACAGUUCGCCCUGGUGUUGUUAGACAGCGAGAAAGGCAAGACAUUCCAGGGCGCGAGUGCUUCGAUCGAGGUGUAUUAUCUCCCUAUGCCGUCAAAUGCUGCUUCCACAGCUCAGAUGCUGGUUGUGGACGACAGGUCAAGUAAUGUCACCGUCGUGCAAGCUGGAUGGCAUAUUGAUCCUGGCCGCGAAGGCGACGGGCAGAGCCGUUUAACGGUUUACUGGACGGCUGAUGACUACAAACAGACGGGCUGCCCUAACACACAGUGCCCUGGAUUUGUGCUGGUAAACCAAUAUGUGGCCCCUGGGACGGCCUUUCCGGCUGGAUCAUCGAUUGAUUUAACCAUCUCCAGGGAUGACCAGACCGGGCACUGGCUAGUUUCAGUCAGCGGACUCAUUGUGGGCUACUUCCCCCGCGCCAUAGUCAACGGCAUGGACGGCAGCACCCAGGUCCAGGUGGGAGGGACCGUGUACGCGCCACCGGGGAGUAAGAGACCUCCCAUGGGCAGCGGCAUCGCACCGGGGCCCAACAGUAACAACGGCGCCGCCAAGUUCAAGUGGUUAACUGUCCGCGGCAGCACGAACUUCAAGUUUAGGAAGACCAAGAACGUCGACGACUCCAGCAUAUACGACGUUGUGGUCACUUCAGCUUCACAAAAUGGUCCUGAUGGAUUUUCCUUCCAGUAUGGUGGCCCCGGAGAUGCAUAG